CCUACGGGGGGCAGCAGUAGGGAAUAUUGCUCAAUGGGGGAAACCCUGAAGCAGCAACGCCGCGUGGAGGAUGAAGGUUUUCGGAUUGUAAACUUCUUUUGUUAGAGAAGAUUAUGACGGUAUCUAAUGAAUAAGCACCGGCUAACUCCGUGCCAGCAGCCGCGGUAAUACGGAGGGUGCAAGCGUUACUCGGAUUCACUGGGCGUAAAGAGUGCGUAGGCGGGGUAAUAAGUCAGAUGUGAAAUCCUGUGGCUUAACUACAGAACUGCAUUUGAAACUGUUAUUCUGGAGUGUGGGAGAGGUAGGUGGAAUGCUUGGUGUAGGGGUAAAAUCCGUAGAGAUCAAGAGGAAUACUCAUUGCGAAGGCGACCUGCUGGAACAUUACUGACGCUGAUGCACGAAAGCGUGGGGAGCAAACAGGAUUAGAUACCCGGGUAGUC
Molecule: ribosomal RNA, 440 nt
Filed under: uncultured bacterium
Lineage: Bacteria
Description: partial 16S ribosomal RNA
Rfam family: Bacterial small subunit ribosomal RNA
Source: RNAcentral